This 439-nucleotide ribosomal RNA is filed under the name uncultured bacterium. RNAcentral's name for it is "partial 16S ribosomal RNA". It matches the Rfam family "Bacterial small subunit ribosomal RNA", at positions 338 to 795 of the family's 1533-position model. The record is from RNAcentral.
CCUACGGGAGGCAGCAGUGGGGGAUAUUGCACAAUGGAGGAAACUCUGAUGCAGCGACGCCGCGUGAGGGAAGACGGUCUUCGGAUUGUAAACCUCUGUCUUUGGGGAAGAAAAUGACGGUAUACAAAGAGGAAGCUCCGGCUAACUACGUGCCAGCAGCCGCGGUAAUACGUAGGGAGCGAGCGUUGUCCGGAAUUACUGGGUGAAAAGGGAGCGUAGGCGGGGGAGAAAGUUGAAUGUUAAAUCUACCGGCUUAACUGGUAGCUGCGUUCAAAACUUCUUGUCUUGAGUGAAGUAGAGGCAGGCGGAAUGCCUAGUGUAGCGGUGAAAUGCGUAGAUAUUAGGAGGAACACCAGUGGCGAAGGCGGCCUGCUGGGCUUUAACUGACGCUGAGGCUCGAAAGCGUGGGGAGCAAACAGGAUUAGAUACCCUAGUAGUC